RNAcentral lists this ribosomal RNA (477 nucleotides) under Exiguobacterium sp. R-25570. RNAcentral's name for it is "bacterial SSU rRNA". It matches the Rfam family "Bacterial small subunit ribosomal RNA", at positions 20 to 478 of the family's 1533-position model. Lineage: Bacteria; Bacillati; Bacillota; Bacilli; Caryophanales. The record is from RNAcentral.
UGGCUCAGGAUGAACGCUGGCGGCGUGCCUAAUACAUGCAAGUCGAGCGCAGGAAGCCGUCUGAACCCUUCGGGGGGACGACGGUGGAAUGAGCGGCGGACGGGUGAGUAACACGUAAAGAACCUGCCCAUAGGUCUGGGAUAACCACGAGAAAUCGGGGCUAAUACCGGAUGUGUCAUCGGACCGCAUGGUCCGCUGAUGAAAGGCGCUCSUGGCGUCGCCCAUGGAUGGCUUUGCGGUGCAUUAGCUAGUUGGUGGGGUAACGGCCCACCAAGGCGACGAUGCAUAGCCGACCUGAGAGGGUGAUCGGCCACACUGGGACUGAGACACGGCCCAGACUCCUACGGGAGGCAGCNNUAGGGAAUCUUCCACAAUGGACGAAAGUCUGAUGGAGCAACGCCGCGUGAACGAUGAAGGCUUUCGGGUCGUAAAGUUCUGUUGUAAGGGAAGAACAAGUGCCGCAGGCAAUGGCGGCAC